UACGAAGGGGGCUAGCGUUGCUCGGAAUCACUGGGCGUAAAGCGCACGUAGGCGGACUCUUAAGUCGGUGGUGAAAUCCUGGAGCUCAACUCCAGAACUGCCUUCGAUACUGGGAGUCUCGAGUCCGGGAGAGGUGAGUGGGACUGCGAGUGUAGAGGUGAAAUUCGUAGAUAUUGGGAAGAACACCAGUGGCGAAGGCGGCUAACUGGUCCAGUACUGACGCUGAGGUGCGAAAGCGUGGGGAGCGAACAGG
RNAcentral lists this ribosomal RNA (253 nucleotides) under uncultured bacterium. RNAcentral describes it as "partial 16S ribosomal RNA". It matches the Rfam family "Bacterial small subunit ribosomal RNA", at positions 524 to 776 of the family's 1533-position model. The record is from RNAcentral.